RNAcentral lists this ribosomal RNA (484 nucleotides) under uncultured bacterium. RNAcentral describes it as "partial 16S ribosomal RNA". It matches the Rfam family "Bacterial small subunit ribosomal RNA", at positions 30 to 507 of the family's 1533-position model. The record is from RNAcentral.
AUUGAACGCUGGCGGCAGGCCUAACACAUGCCAGUCGAGCGGAUGAAGGGAGCUUGCUCCUGGAUUCAGCGGCGGACGGGUGAGUAAUGCCUAGGAAUCUGCCUGGUAGUGGGGGAUAACGUCCGGAAACGGGCGCUAAUACCGCAUACGUCCUGAGGGAGAAAGUGGGGGAUCUUCGGACCUCACGCUAUCAGAUGAGCCUAGGUCGGAUUAGCUAGUUGGUGGGGUAAAGGCCUACCAAGGCGACGAUCCGUAACUGGUCUGAGAGGAUGAUCAGUCACACUGGAACUGAGACACGGUCCAGACUCCUACGGGAGGCAGCAGUGGGGAAUAUUGGACAAUGGGCGAAAGCCUGAUCCAGCCAUGCCGCGUGUGUGAAGAAGGUCUUCGGAUUGUAAAGCACUUUAAGUUGGGAGGAAGGGCAGUAAGUUAAUACCUUGCUGUUUUGACGUUUCCAACAGAAUAAGCACCGGCUAACUUCGUG